RNAcentral lists this ribosomal RNA (492 nucleotides) under uncultured bacterium. Its description in RNAcentral is "bacterial SSU rRNA". It matches the Rfam family "Bacterial small subunit ribosomal RNA", at positions 28 to 526 of the family's 1533-position model. The record is from RNAcentral.
GACGAACGCUGGCGGCGUGCUUAACACAUGCAAGUCGAACGGUGAUCCACUUUCGGGUGGUGAUCAGUGGCGAACGGGUGAGUAACACGUGAGCAACCUGCCCCUGGCUCUGGGACAACCACUGGAAACGGUGGCUAAUACCGGAUACGACCCGCCAUCGCAUGGUGUGUGGGUGGAAAGUUUUUCGGCUGGGGAUGGGCUCGCGGCCUAUCAGCUUGUUGGUGGGGUGAUGGCCUACCAAGGCGACGACGGGUAGCCGGCCUGAGAGGGCGACCGGCCACACUGGGACUGAGACACGGCCCAGACUCCUACGGGAGGCAGCAGUGGGGAAUAUUGCACAAUGGGCGAAAGCCUGAUGCAGCGACGCCGCGUGAGGGAUGACGGCCUUCGGGUUGUAAACCUCUUUCAGCUCCGAAGAAGCCAUGCUUACUGGUGUGGUGACGGUAGGAGCAGAAGAAGCACCGGCUAACUACGUGCCAGCCGCCGUAAAAC